GUUAUGUGUCUGAGUGCACUGUGUUUGAACAGAUUCUAGAGUGGAGUCAGACGCAACUGUGGGUCCCGGUUCUACUCCUUAGCAGCUGUCUGAAGUCCGCCUCACCCUUUCGAUUUCUAACGUGGGCUUAGUGUCCCAGCUCCACAGAUCCUGCUUGGGGUCAGGUUCAUCCGGAGGCAGCAAGUUCGCAGCCGGUGAAGACACCCAGCUCCUCCGCGCUCUUGGCCAGUCAGGGGUGGCUCUGAAGGACAAGGCGGUACUGACAUUCUGACGGUGGAAAGACAACGGCACGUGAGUCUUUGCGAGAGCUCUGUGGGCCUCGGAGGAGGACCUGGACGCAGGGCUGGAGCAUCCGGGGCGGCCAGCCGCUGGAAACAGCUCUGGAGGCCGUUGCCUAGGAGGCUCACAUUCUGGGGUUCUGGGAAGGACAGGCAUUCGAGGAGACGCUGCUGCCUCUGUGCAGAGGGAAGCAGGGACCCUCGGUGCUAUGACUUAGGGUAGUGAAUCAUGAGGAAAUUGGGGAAGGCCUUGAAGCCAUAUCAAGAGGCUCGGUAGGCUGGCAGAGCAGGCAGAGAUGUCCCAUCCCGGGGCGGGGGACGCCGAGGGCAGCUCAGAGGGAGCUGCUCACUGUGUGCCCCAGGUUAAGUAGAAACAGAGGCACCCAGAGCCGCCACGGACUCCAGCUCCACCUGCCCUGCGUGCCCUCCUCACGAUGCACCCCAGCGUGCCACCUGCCUGUGCCCUCGCCCCACAGACCUCGCCGGGCAGCUUGGGUUCAGUGACCUGGCCACUGGGACCCAGCAUCAACGUGGGCUGCGGACGGUGAGGAGAGAGCUGGUGAGCGCGGACAGCAGCGAACCCACUGCACACCAGCACCCUGGCCGCCCCAGCCAGACCUCCGGGAGCCACACCCCUGCUCCCUGUCAUCUUCCCAGCCGAGUUGUAUUCUCCGUCACAUCCAUGAUAAACACAG
RNAcentral lists this long non-coding RNA (973 nucleotides) under Fukomys damarensis (Damara mole-rat). RNAcentral's name for it is "lncRNA (ENSFDAG00000027565.1)". Lineage: Eukaryota; Metazoa; Chordata; Mammalia; Rodentia; Bathyergidae. The record is from RNAcentral.